CCCUUUUUUUCUCCUCUGUAGGAAAAAUGGUAAAACACAUAAAAAGUAUCGGUGCGGUGGCGAGCUCUCGGCGUCUUGGAACCCAUGUGAGGUUCAUGUGCAGCGAUUCAUCGAACCUCACAAGAUUUCACCCUCCCGGACAUCGCAGAGACUUUCAUUGUUGUUGAAAUCUUCUGCAUGAUCCGCUAUGAGGUUGUGGAUGACAGGCAAGUUCGAGCUAGAAAUGCCAUUUUCUUGUUCAGCGUUGUUUGACGUCGUGUCUGGUGAGAUACUGGAGUAGAAUGGCACUUGAUGCCGGCGGUAGUCUUAGCGGGAGCCACCAGGAUGCAGCGCUAGCAGUUGCUUGUCCUUUGUAUGGUCGGAAUUCGCUGACAUUUGGCGGGCGCAGAAGUAGCGAGCACUUCAUGUGUGUCAUCCGAAGGCAAGUGGACUGGCGGAAUUACAGGCAUGCUCUUGGAUUGCCCGGUAGAGGCUGCUUGGGAGCUCGCUUCAGACCGGGUAAACUGGCAUGGAUGGUUUCCUGGAAACUCCAAGUUUGAGCUGCGUGAGGGAGAGAAUAGAAAACCAGGAUGUUUACGAUACAUCGCAUCAAUUUCUAACGUCCCCAAUUACUAGGGCAAUGAACGCCUUCUGGCAAUCGACGACGAGAAUUACUUCUUAUCUUGUAAUCUUGAGGAGAAUGAAUUAUUUGGCGGACUUGUAGAUUACAUUGUUGAAGCUCAGGUGUUGCAGCUGCGGGGAACAGGUGACGGGAGGACUAUGGUAGAGUAUUGCUCGUACGAGAUUGGACCAGUGGAGGACCAAACGCCCGAGACAUUCUCGCUUACCAUGAGGAACGUCUACAAGUGAUACCUCAAGAAUCUCGAAAGGGGAGCUCAGAGGCUUGCAGCAGGUCUCGAUCCGAAACCCGAUUGUGUAUCGGUUACAAAGGAAUCCUACAGUCAUUACGUAACAAAUAGCCCCUGAAUCCUUUUGGACCAAGCCAGACAACAAAAUCCGAAGAGUGAUUGAAAACCCGUAUUUAGGGAACACAAAUUCAAGGACCCUGCGGCAGCCAGGAGUUUGAUUGUUACUCUCCGCUAUUGCCCUUUAUCUGUAGUGUAUGUGGUCAACUUUGGUCCAAACUAGGAAUGUUGUUAACAAAACUCAGGCUGUUGCUGUGACAGUAAGAUGUGGCGAAUAUUUUUUUUGCAGUUGUUUAGAAAAA
Molecule: non-coding RNA, 1207 nt
Organism: Physcomitrium patens
Lineage: Eukaryota; Viridiplantae; Streptophyta; Bryopsida; Funariales; Funariaceae
Source: RefSeq, a predicted model, not a curated record